UGUUGUUUUCUCGAAAAUCAAUUAAAAAAGGCAGGAUUUUGUGCUGUAUUGACUUUAUCAGCUUUCUGCACUCUUUUCUUGUCUUUUUUAAUGCACUUUUCGUUUAACAAGUCAACAUCAAUUUCUUUUGUUGUAAAAGGGUCAUUGGAAGGUGGCUUUCCUUUCGGAGAAAGUGUUUAUAGCCUUUGGCCUCUGCAAUCGGAGAGAUUGAGGUCUGCAGCGUAGAUCCUUCGGGGUUAGAUACAUUCGUGCUAAGUUAUAGCCUUUCAUAGACAACUUGUUGACUAUGAUCAGUCAUGUAGCUUGCUCGCUUAUGCUAUUUUACCUAC
Molecule: ribosomal RNA, 329 nt
Filed under: Neocallimastigales sp.
Lineage: Eukaryota; Fungi; Neocallimastigomycota; Neocallimastigomycetes; Neocallimastigales
Description: partial large subunit ribosomal RNA
Source: RNAcentral